GUCCAAGAAGCCCCGCUUAGACCAGAUUCCUGCUGCCAACCUUGAUGCUGACGAUCCUCUCACAGAUGAGGAAGAUGAGGAUUUUGAAGAGGAAAGCGAUGACGAUGACACUGCAGCUCUUCUUGCAGAGCUAGAAAAGAUCAAGAAGGAGAGAGCUGAAGAGCAGGCCAGAAAGGUAGUGUUGCUAUUCACACCACACCAUCACGUUCUAAACCAUGUCUAAAUGUUCUAACACCUGGAGAUCUGUCUUCUUAAAGUGGCAUUCUCAGGCUCCUAAUUAUAUGGGACAUUUCUUUCAGAUAGUUCAGAUAGAACUAUGAUGCUCAACUUGUUUAAAAGCAAAUGAAUAAAUGAUUUCCUAAUUAAACGCCAGAAUUAAAGAUAGUCUACAGCAAUGGUUCUCAGCCUUCCUAAUGCUGCAACUCUUUAAUACAGUUCCUCAUGCUACGGUAACUCCCAACCAUAACAUUACAUGGUUGCUACUUCAUAACUAACUUCAUGCUUCACAUAUCUGUGUUUUCCAGUUGUCACAGGAAACUCCUGUGAAAGGGUUAUUUAAUCCCCAAAGAGUCGUGACCCACAGUUGAGAACUGCUGGUCCACGUGGUUUAUAAAGAUUCUCUUUUUGUCUCCUGCCUACUUUGAGACAUUUGUGUCUCAAA
This 661-nucleotide long non-coding RNA is filed under the name Rattus norvegicus (Norway rat). RNAcentral's name for it is "long non-coding RNA NONRATT027430". Lineage: Eukaryota; Metazoa; Chordata; Mammalia; Rodentia; Muridae. The record is from RNAcentral.